Molecule: ribosomal RNA, 366 nt
Filed under: uncultured organism
Description: bacterial SSU rRNA
Rfam family: Bacterial small subunit ribosomal RNA
Source: RNAcentral
CCGGAGGAUCCAAGCGUUAUCCGGAAUCAUUGGGUUUAAAGGUCCGUAGGCGGUUUAGUAAGUCAGUGGUGAAAGCCCAUCGCUCAACGGUGGAACGGCCAUUGAUACUGCUAAACUUGAAUUAUUAGGAAGUAACUAGAAUAUGUAGUGUAGCGGUGAAAUGCUUAGAGAUUACAUGGAAUACCAAUUGCGAAGGCAGGUUACUACUAAUGGAUUGACGCUGAUGGACGAAAGCGUGGGUAGCGAACAGGAUUAGAUACCCUGGUAGUCCACGCCGUAAACGAUGGAUACUAGCUGUUGGGGGCAACUUCAGUGGCUAAGCGAAAGUGAUAAGUAUCCCACCUGGGGAGUACGGGCGCAAGCCUG